Molecule: ribosomal RNA, 492 nt
Filed under: uncultured bacterium
Lineage: Bacteria
Description: partial 16S ribosomal RNA
Rfam family: Bacterial small subunit ribosomal RNA
Source: RNAcentral
AGUGAACGCUGGCGGCAGGCCUAAUACAUGCAAGUCGAACGGACGCACAGUAAGAGUUCGCCCCUACGGGUGGCGAGUGGCGGAUGGGUGAGGCGUACAUAGGCAUCCACUUUUUCGUGGGGGACUACGUAGGGCAACAUAUGAUACUACAGCAUAUGUUCUACGGGAGAAAGCAGGGGAUCUUCGCACUUUGCGUGAUUCUUUGAGACGAUGCCGGAUUAGCUAGUUGGCGAGGUAAAGGCACACCAAGGCGACGAUACGUAGCUGAUCUGAGAGGAUGAUCAGCCACACUGGAACUGAGACACGGUCCAGACUCCUACGGGAGGCAGCAGUAGGGAAUAUUCGACAAUGGGCGCAAGCCUGAUCCAGCCAUACCGCGUGGGUGAAGAAGGCCUUCGGAUUGUAAAGCCCUUUUAUUGGGAAAGAAAAGCAGCAUAUUAAUACCCCGCUGUUCUGACGGUACCCAAAGAAUAAGCACCGGCUAACUUCGUG